UGGGGAAUCUUGCACAAUGGGCGAAAGCCUGAUGCAGCGAUUCCGCGUGGAGGAUGACGCAUUACGGUGUGUAAACUCCUUUUUUGGUGGAAGACGAAUGACGGUACACCAAGAAUAAGGGACGGCUAACUACGUGCCAGCAGCCGCGGUAAUACGUAGGUCCCAAGCGUUAUCCGGAUUUACUGGGCGUAAAGUGUCCGUAGCCAGAUAUAUAAGUCUGUUUUCAAAUACCAUGACUCAAUCAUGGAAAGGGAAUAGAUACUGUAUAUCUAGAGAAUAUUGGAGGUGAGUGGAAUUUCCGGUGGAGCGGUGAAAUGCGUUGAUAUCGGAAAGAACGCCGAAAGCGAAAGCAGCUAACUAUGAUAUUUCUGACGGUGAUGGACGAAAGCUUGAGGAGCAAACG
RNAcentral lists this ribosomal RNA (403 nucleotides) under uncultured prokaryote. Its description in RNAcentral is "bacterial SSU rRNA". It matches the Rfam family "Bacterial small subunit ribosomal RNA", at positions 355 to 774 of the family's 1533-position model. The record is from RNAcentral.